CCUAGAGGGGGGACGAACAGUUGGAAACGACUGCUAAUACCGCAUACGAUCUAAUCUCGGCAUCGAGGAUAGAUGAAAGGUGGCCUCUACAUGUAAGCUAUCACUGAAGGAGGGGAUUGCGUCUGAUUAGCUAGUUGGAGGGGUAACGGCCCACCAAGGCGAUGAUCAGUAGCCGGUCUGAGAGGAUGAACGGCCACAUUGGGACUGAGACACGGCCCAG
This 220-nucleotide ribosomal RNA is filed under the name uncultured bacterium. RNAcentral describes it as "partial 16S ribosomal RNA". It matches the Rfam family "Bacterial small subunit ribosomal RNA", at positions 130 to 334 of the family's 1533-position model. The record is from RNAcentral.